Molecule: small RNA, 364 nt
Filed under: Oryza sativa Japonica Group (Japanese rice)
Lineage: Eukaryota; Viridiplantae; Streptophyta; Magnoliopsida; Poales; Poaceae
Source: RNAcentral
AGAGAUGCAAUUAAGCCUAGCAUGAGCAAUAAGAACCACUCAGGCUAGCCAAGGAGACUGCCCAUGAACCAGCUUAAAGGAUCAUUAAAUUGCUAAUCCUUCAGGGAGGACACAGGCAAGUCAUCCUUGGCUAUCAGAGAUAAGUCCUUACUGCCAUCCAUGUAAGGCUGCUUCUCUCUUUUGCUUCAUCUAGUGUUGGUUACCUUAGCAGCUUAGCUUGAAUGGUCUGUACUGCAUUGGAUUGUUGCUUCCAUUCAACAUCUAUUUAUAUAUACCUUGUAAAGAACAGUAUCUGAUACUUUGUGUCUAUGUAGGGCCUCUAUAGAAUAUCUUAUCAUUACAAACUUUUAGCUAGCAGCAUAUA